RNAcentral lists this ribosomal RNA (253 nucleotides) under uncultured bacterium. Its description in RNAcentral is "partial 16S ribosomal RNA". It matches the Rfam family "Bacterial small subunit ribosomal RNA", at positions 524 to 776 of the family's 1533-position model. The record is from RNAcentral.
UACGAAGGGGGCUAGCGUUACUCGGAUUGACUGGGCGUAAAGGGCGCGUAGGCGGUUUGUACAGUCAGACGUGAAAUUCCUGGGCUCAACCUGGGGGCUGCGUUUGAUACGUGCGGACUUGAGUUCGGAAGAGGGUCGUGGAAUUCCCAGUGUAGAGGUGAAAUUCGUAGAUAUUGGGAAGAACACCGGUGGCGAAGGCGGCGACCUGGUCCUUGACUGACGCUGAGGCGCGAAAGCGUGGGGAGCAAACAGG